This 253-nucleotide ribosomal RNA is filed under the name uncultured bacterium. Its description in RNAcentral is "partial 16S ribosomal RNA". It matches the Rfam family "Bacterial small subunit ribosomal RNA", at positions 524 to 776 of the family's 1533-position model. The record is from RNAcentral.
GACGAAGGAUGCAAGCGUUAUCCGGAUUCACUGGGUUUAAAGGGUGCGUAGGUGGGUUGGUAAGUCAGUGGUGAAAUCUCCAGGCUUAACUUGGAAACUGCCAUUGAUACUAUCAAUCUUGAAUACCGUGGAGGUCAGCGGAAUAUGUCAUGUAGCGGUGAAAUGCUUAGAGAUGACAUAGAACACCAAUUGCGAAGGCAGCUGGCUACACGAAUAUUGACACUGAUGCACGAAAGCGUGGGGAUCAAACAGG